GCAGAAAAACUAUUAUAAAGAAACUGAAAUCUUAAUAAAUUUAACCAGGUGUGAUGGCAGGCACCUCUGAUUCCAGCUACUUGGGAAGCUCAGGCGGGGGCCUCACUUGAGCUUGGGAAGUUGAGGCUGCAGUGAGCUGUGAUUGUGACACUACACGCUAGCCCGGGCAACAGAACGAGAAAAAGAAACAAGAAUCUGGAAUCUUACAAGGAUCCAAGAUGUCAGGGAAUAAUGAGCUCUCUGAAAGGUCUAAAGUUGAUUUUGCUUCAGACUAUCAGAAAGACGCUGGGGAGACAUCAGCACAGGCCUGGAGGGGAGCAAAUACAUACAUCGCUUAUAGAAACACCAAAUAUUCUUACAUGAUUUUUGGAAUAGACUUGACUCCAGGGAUAGUUUUAGAGUCAGAGGAACCUCAUCCCAUGGCCACAACCAUCUCAGGCUCAUGA
This 446-nucleotide long non-coding RNA is filed under the name Papio anubis (olive baboon). Its description in RNAcentral is "lncRNA (ENSPANG00000042088.1)". The record is from RNAcentral. Lineage: Eukaryota; Metazoa; Chordata; Mammalia; Primates; Cercopithecidae.